GAAGGAAAAGUUUUCCUCUUUUGGGAAAAUCGUUAGCUUGACUAUUUCAAAGGAUGAAAAUGGGAUGUCAAAGGGCUUUGGCUUUGUGAACUAUGAAAACUCAGAUGAUGCUAAAAGGGCCUUGGAAGCGAUGAACGGAACACAACUAGGGAUCAAACAUUUAUGUGAAGAACAUUGAUGACAAUGUAAGUGAUGAAGAACUGCGGGGCCAUUUUAGUGCAUGUGGCUCUAUAACUUAUGCAAAAGUUAUGAAGGACGAGAAAGGGAUAAGCAAAGGGUUUGGUUUUGUCUGUUUCUCUACUCCUGAGGAGGCCAACAAAGCUGUGAACACUUUUCAAUGGAUUUGUUGAGUUGAAGGGAAUGGCUGAUCGUAUUAUCAGUAUGCGCCAACAACUUUUUGAUGCUUUACGUUCCAGAAGUCUGCCUCUACUGAAUUUCCUUUGCAAUUUAUUCUGCUUGUAUUUGUCUGUAUGGUCCUGUAUCACUAUUGUUUCACCAAAUACCAGACUUUUUUGUUUACUCAUUCUUUACUUC
Lotus japonicus is the source of this 534-nucleotide long non-coding RNA. RefSeq lists it as uncharacterized. Lineage: Eukaryota; Viridiplantae; Streptophyta; Magnoliopsida; Fabales; Fabaceae. The record is from RefSeq and is a predicted model, not a curated record. The transcript is spliced from 3 exons.